Long non-coding RNA from Mauremys mutica (yellowpond turtle), 1139 nucleotides. RefSeq lists it as uncharacterized. The record is from RefSeq and is a predicted model, not a curated record. The transcript is spliced from 12 exons. Lineage: Eukaryota; Metazoa; Chordata; Testudines; Geoemydidae.
GGAGCACAUGGCUGUCUGGGCUCUGCUAUUCAGACAGUUCGGAGCAUUUUUUGGAGUGCAUAGCACCUGUUUACACAGAACUCGCGGAGGAAUCCACAUCCUCACUGUCAUCUGCGAUUAUAUGUGAGACAUCAAAAUUUUUCUGUGGCUUGACUAGCCCAGCACAGAGGUGAAGGACCUUUCCUAGUGUAUCCUCAGGGGUAGGAAAAAGAAGUACGAAAUUAUACGAAGCUCUGAGAAUCAGCCUUUCUUUAGGAGCCGAUAUGGAUCUUUCCGGCCACCUCUGCCAACUGCUGGUCCGGUCUGGAGACUAGUGGAAGGAGGAUACAGCAGCCACUGGGAGUUGCAGCCCUUCCCUGUCUGGGCCUGCUGCUUCAGACACAGCAGUGCAAGAGACUGCAGUGUCAGCCAGAGAUGGUAACCCACCUGACACAGAGUCUCCUGGUCCAGGAGUCAAUAUGGGGUUUUUGGACCGUCUCUGACAAAGACUGACUCAGACUAUUGGAUGGACACCUUUCUGAACGGACAGGACAGAUCUGGGCUCCAACCAGCCAGGCCCCACUGACUCUUCUGUCCCAGGCACCAAGCGAAAGGCCUAUUCGUCACUCAGGGGACAGCUUGCCCCAAUCAGCAAGAAUGAGGAAAGGCCAAUGAAGACCAGAAGCCUUGCUUGCGUGAGGGAAAUGGAUGAGGCUGCCCUGAGGAAGGACAUUGGCACCCUCUUCCCAGCACUCCACUCCAUGGUGUGUCAUCUACCCAGAGAGCACCUGGAGGAGCGGAGAGAGACCCUGGACUCUCUGGUCCAUCUUGCUCGCUUGUUCCUGAUGGAGCUGCUUGUGUUCCUGUUCAGGAGGCUGAAAAGGACGAGGAAGAGGAGACCUGUGCCAAUCUCUUCAUUCUGGACCGGCUAGUCCGAUCCAACAGUCAGAGAAGCCCUUGCUUAUUUUAUAUGGACAAUGGGGGCGCAUGGGGUCUUGGAGAAAUCUGCAUCAAGACUCGUAACUGACUUCUUGGUGCAUCAGUGCACCCUGACUCUCGACAGCACGGAGGAAGCAGACGGGAGGCGCACCAUGCAGCUCGAGGUCCGCCAGCUCUGCUCCAGCACCCUGCAGUCCCUGGGUGACUCCCCCAGAAUGGCC